Molecule: ribosomal RNA, 440 nt
Filed under: uncultured bacterium
Lineage: Bacteria
Description: partial 16S ribosomal RNA
Rfam family: Bacterial small subunit ribosomal RNA
Source: RNAcentral
CCUACGGGAGGCAGCAGUAGGGAAUAUUGCUCAAUGGGGGAAACCCUGAAGCAGCAACGCCGCGUGGAGGAUGAAGGUUUUCGGAUUGUAAACUCCUUUUGUUAGAGAAGAUAAUGACGGUAUCUAACGAAUAAGCACCGGCUAACUCCGUGCCAGCAGCCGCGGUAAUACGGAGGGUGCAAGCGUUACUCGGAAUCACUGGGCGUAAAGAGCGCGUAGGUGGGAUAGCAAGUCAGAUGUGAAAUCCUAUGGCUUAACCAUAGAACUGCAUUUGAAACUGUUAUUCUAGAGUAUGGGAGAGGGAGGUGGAAUGCGUGGUGUAGGGGUGAAAUGCGUAGAGAUCAAGAGGAAUACUCAUUGCGAAGGCGACCUGCUAGAACAAAACUGACGCUGAUGCGCGAAAGCGUGGGGAGCAAACAGGAUUAGAUACCCGUGUAGUC